GCACAUAAAGCGAGAAAUUUGCAUACGGUUUCGGCCCGUAACUUGACGGUGAAAGUCCUUCUCUGUGUC
RNAcentral lists this transfer RNA (69 nucleotides) under Littorina fabalis. Its description in RNAcentral is "tRNA-Arg". The record is from RNAcentral. Lineage: Eukaryota; Metazoa; Mollusca; Gastropoda; Littorinimorpha; Littorinidae.